AUAUUGGUUUUUCCUAGGAACCCUUGAUUGUGAGACAAUGUGACCAUCGGUUUCUAAGGUUUUUGUAUUGAUUCUUGAAGGAGUCAUCGGAACUGGCGGCACUUGAAGCAUCCAAAGGAUUCGAGAGACGAUAAUGUUCCCUGUUUCAAAUCUUUUUGAGGUGCUCAGUUUUUCUGUCGACAAGGUGGUUGUGGCGUUUGAUUUAUAUGGUUAGGGUUUUCCAGAAUUGGGCUGACGGGAGAUCCGGGCACUCCAAAUAAGUGAGACAGGCAAGAGUAAGACAGCCAAAAAUAUCCUUUUUUGUACCUUUUUAUGUAUUAUUUUUAGUUCCCACUCACUUGAUAAUAAUGGAUUUAACUUUAUUUGUUAAUUUAAUUUUUUUAAUAGUGUCAUGAAGGAACCAACUUCGGGCGUACUACUGGUGGCCCGUUUAUUGC
Helianthus annuus (common sunflower) is the source of this 437-nucleotide long non-coding RNA. RefSeq lists it as uncharacterized. The transcript is spliced from 3 exons. Lineage: Eukaryota; Viridiplantae; Streptophyta; Magnoliopsida; Asterales; Asteraceae. The record is from RefSeq and is a predicted model, not a curated record.